CAGUCGCCGCGGUAAUACGUAGGGUGCGAGCGUUAAUCGGAAUUACUGGGCGUACAGCGUGCGCAGGCGGUCCGCUAAGACAGAUGUGAAAUCCCAGGGCUUAACCUGGGAACUGCAUUUGUGACUGGCGGGCUAGAGUAUGGCAGAGGGGGGUAGAAUUCCACGUGUAGCAGUGAAAUGCGUAGAGAUGUGGAGGAAUACCGAUGGCGAAGGCAGCCCCCUGGGCCAAUACUGACGCUCAUGCACGAAAGCGUGGGGAGCAAACAGGAUUAGAUACCCCCGUAGUCCCUGUCUCUUAUAC
Molecule: ribosomal RNA, 301 nt
Filed under: uncultured bacterium
Lineage: Bacteria
Description: partial 16S ribosomal RNA
Rfam family: Bacterial small subunit ribosomal RNA
Source: RNAcentral